AGAAUUAUGGCCUUGUCGUUCGAUUUUCGAUGCGACGAUCUCCUCGAGCGACUGCCUGUAGCAUUGUGUCCUUUUUCCAGCCUGUAUUGAGGAAUCGAUUCGCUUUAUCGGGCAACAAUUACGACACCGCAACGGCAAUCUCCAUGUUUCAAAGGAUGACUUCGACGUAGAAACGAUUAUCUUGAUCAGAAUAAUUAGCAGAUUGCUCAGUUGUCGUGGGAGUAUGGAAAAGGGGAAGAAGAUAAUGAAAGGAUAUUUGGAACUGUUCAAUGUCCGAUCAUUUUCAUUGUCCAUUGUGUAACGGACGAGGAAUUUGCGGAAUGUCUUUCCACGAAACCUCGUGUCACAUUUGGAUUCGAUACAUCGAUGGCCAAUGUGCUUGAAGAAGGGUUGCUGCAAGGAUACAAGGAUAUAAGAAUGGCUGGAUCGGUACCGGUCGUGUCUCAGCCACAAUAUUAUUCUUCCAGCCGAUACAACGUUUGGAUGGAAUGGGAAUGGCGAAAGAAACGUUGGUAACAUAUUGGAGGGGUCGCGGGAUACGUCCAAGUCGCUCGUAUUAUGCCUUCUCGCCAGUACAUACACGGCCACGUGCCUAUGCGUGACACGUUUACGCUUGGCUGGCCGCAUUUCCACUCUCUCCCUCCGUAUCGGCCCGUAUUCAUCUCCGAUUUCUUGUUGGGGUGCGCGCCGAUUGCGUUUCCACUUUAACCGUGCGUCGUUCAACGUCUAUCAACGGGUACACGAGCUGCAUGCUACUUAAAUCCGCACGAAUCCAGCCGUCUGAUGAACAUGCUCAAUAUGAUAGUCUUUUUUAUUUGCGAACAUCGAUAUUUUGUAUGGCGUUGAGUAGGGUAUUUAAGAAGAGGAUACGUUGUAUCUUUGAUCUAGAGAGUAUUUAAGAAGGGAAAUGUUUGUUUGGUAUUAGACGACAAAUCGUUUAUGUAAAGUUUAGAGUUCUGUUGUUUUAGCAAACGACGAGCAGAUUAAAAGAUUCGUAAUUUAUUCAAGGUAUUCAUACAAUGACAUUGUACGCGAUUGCGAUUGAACCAAAUCCUUAGAAGCUACUUUAAUAGGGAAUCGUUUAAUUUUGACUUUUGAUUUCGCCUUUUUAUUAUCUCGCAUUUGUACAACUCGUCGCGUCAUUUUGUACAACUUUCGUCGACGAACUAUUAUCAGUUGUGACAUUUAUUAACGCUAUUUAAAACACGUAGCAUACAAACUUAUAAAUCUCGUUUGUAAUAUAACAGUUUAUAAGUUGUAAACCUAUUUAACUUUUUUACAGGAAUAGGUAAAUCCUUUCAAAGUAACCGUUAUCGAAUAUGUUUUAACGAUAGUCACGAUAAUAAGUGUAUGCGCUUAACAGGGAGAAUGAUUAUUAAGCGAUGCCCGGGAUCGGGUUCGCGCAAACAGAGACGUUUGAACCUAAGGAUCGGUACGGUUGAGGCCGUGUGAACGCGUUCGUGUCGGCAUUAAUUGAACUUUGCUCGAUAAGCAUUACGGGAUUUCAUGCAAAAGAAAAUCUUUCGGCGCGUUAAGAUCAUCCGGUGAGACAAGAAUCCUUUUUCUUCGAGUGUGUUCAUUCGGUUGGUUGUCGCGUUCACGCUAUGCGAUAAUUAGGAAACGAUUAAUUUCGCUCCGCGUAACACGUCGUUACAAAUGGGAUUUGAUACAACCAACAGUUUAUCUGAUGAACAAAAAACAUAUUACCCUGAGCACGAACGACGUAAUGCGGUAAAGAAAAUACGUAGUUAACAGCGCCAGUGAAACGAUAAAAGCUGUUGUUCCUGAAGGUGUAAAAAUUCGGCUGCGAUCGAGUCUCGUUUAUGCCUCUAAACGCAUAUGAAUAUCGCGUCAUUUGUUCAGGGCCUUCGAAUCGAGACUGAAAUUCGUUCGUUCCAAAUUUCAGAUUUUGCAGAUUGCGCGAUCUUCACGAAGUAUUCACUUUACAUCGGUAUUUAUGUAUCAGUGGAUUCUUGAGCAUGCUGGCUAAAAUACUUGCGAGACGUUGCGUUAUUUCUUUGCAGAAGAUACAUCUGUCAUUAGGUACUUUGGAUUUCUAGAGUCUACCCUGCAACACUCUGCGACCUUUCAUCCAUCCAAGAGGAGUUUACAUCCGCAAAAAGCAGGCGAUCAUUACUCUUCAAGCACCUUCUCAUAUCUGGUUUCCCAAGUUUCACCAUGUUCGUCUUCCAUGAUAAUGCUACAACUGAAUGAACGAACUACAAUGCUACAAUGAAAAAACCAUGAAACACGAAUCUAUGAAAUUUCGAUGAAAAAUUACAAACUGGUAGUUCUAGUAUCGAAA
Molecule: long non-coding RNA, 2305 nt
Organism: Bombus impatiens (common eastern bumble bee)
Lineage: Eukaryota; Metazoa; Arthropoda; Insecta; Hymenoptera; Apidae
Exons: 4
Source: RefSeq, a predicted model, not a curated record